UGACGUAUUAGCUUUAAGCAAGAACGAAGAAAUGAAAGUAAUUGAAAUUAACUUACUGAUAUAAGUUUUAUUUGAUUAUGUAUGUAUUAAAGCUUUCAUUUGUUUGGUAAUUAGCUAUACUAGCUAGUUAUAAUUAUAUGAUGUAAAUAAUGAUUGUCAUUAUCAUUGAAACAUAAUUGUUGUGAACUAAUGGUUGAGCGUUGAUAUCGUGGUUUUGGGAGGAGGAUGGGGUCUUAAAUUGAUUGAUUGCCCGAUGGAUGGGCUGUGUGCACUGAUAGAUAAAUAUAUAAUAAUACUGUGUUAUCUAAACAGGAN
This 315-nucleotide long non-coding RNA is filed under the name Jatropha curcas. RNAcentral's name for it is "long non-coding RNA (JCUR_LNC002931)". The record is from RNAcentral. Lineage: Eukaryota; Viridiplantae; Streptophyta; Magnoliopsida; Malpighiales; Euphorbiaceae.